Molecule: unclassified non-coding RNA, 2815 nt
Filed under: Patiria miniata (bat star)
Lineage: Eukaryota; Metazoa; Echinodermata; Asteroidea; Valvatida; Asterinidae
Description: oxysterol-binding protein-related protein 11-like, transcript variant X1
Source: RNAcentral
CGUUGGUCCCGUUUCUUUCCCUGCAAUUACCUGACCAAUUUUGUUGCGGCUUCGCACGGAUACCAUUUUAGUCCAAGUCUGGUCCAAGAUGGCGGCCACCACGGACGUAAUGGGGAUCGAAGAUGCGAUAAAAAGUGAAAAUCUCGGGCUUUCGGAGGCUGAAAAAAUCCGUUUAGAGACUGUACUUAAAAGAGCUAAGGAAGUAGAAGAAGAGGAUUUCUUCAGCAGUCAUCCAAUGGAGGGCACCCUCAAUAAAUACACCAACGUCGUGAAGGGGUGGCAGAACCGGUGGUUUCUACUGGAUCCCCAGAAGGGAACCCUGGAAUACUACGUGACUGAAGAAUCCAGAAAGACCCAGAGACCGAGAGGAUUGGUGCAUCUGACGGGAGCGGUCAUUUCGCCCAGUGACGAGGAUUCCAUGACGUUCAACGUGAACGCGGCCAACGGGGAAGUGUACCGGCUGCGGGCUACCGACGCCAAGGAGAGGCAGUUCUGGGUCAGUCGCCUGAGGGCGGUGGUGCAACGCCAGGGGGAAGUCAUCUCACAGUCGCUGGGCGACACAACGUCACCGUCGUCCAGUCAGGGCUCCAACGAUUCCCUCCAGCAGCGGUCCGUCAUGCGACGCCAUCACUACAACGCCGCCCCGCGCCAAUCCCCCUCCAACUCCCUGGGCAGGCACACCAGGCCCCCUUCCCUCGCCCCCUCCCUCACCCCGUCUGUCACCCAGGAGUCGCUGCACAACGCCCGGGACAUCAUCACUAUCGCCGAAGAGCAACAGAGGAUGCUGGUCCAGGCACUGGAGUCGCUACCUUCGUCGGGCCACCCGAUCAACUCCUUAGACCACGACUGCCUGCUCCUCAAGUCAACAUCUCACUCGGCCAUGGGCUGCCUGGAAGACUGCCUGAACAUCUUACAGAGGCAGGACAUCGCCCAGGGGCACAGGUCAAACAGUGACCUCCAGCGAUCCAUGGCCAACAUCAGCCUUGAUCUUCAUGUGGCCAAUCCGCAGCCAGUCGGCAGUGUGAUCAACACGAAUAGCCCCAGCCACUUACCAGCGAGUAACGGGGUGGCAGACAGCUCCGAUCGUAGAGUGCCAUUUAUCAAUCCAGCUGACGAGGUUGAAGACAAGGAGGGCGGUGAAGACGAAGACAUCGGGGGAGUGGAGGAACACAAGAGUGUCAUCCUGCACCUACUCUCCCAACUCAAACUAGGCAUGGAUCUAACCAAGGUGGUGUUACCAACGUUUAUUCUUGAAAAGCGGUCCCUGCUGGAAAUGUAUGCUGACUUCAUGGCGCACCCUGACAUGUUUGCGAGAAUUCCAAGUUUACCAACUCCAGAGGCGCGCAUGAUGGCAGUCGUUGAAUACUAUCUAUGCUCAUUUCAUGUCGGCAGAAAGGGCUCGAUUGCCAAGAAACCCUUCAAUCCCAUCAUUGGUGAGACGUUCCACUGUUCCUGGGAUUUGCCCUCCAACUCCAGCCAAUCAGACGGCCCCGUUGAGAACGGUCGAGUCACCUUUGUGGCCGAGCAGGUUUCCCAUCAUCCUCCGGUGUCCGCAUUCUACGCAGAGUGUCCCAGCAAGAAGAUCUGCAUGAACAGCUGGAUAUGGACUAAAUCGAAAUUCCUGGGCAUGUCGGUCGGAGUUAACAACGCCGGAGAAGGCACGAUUCGGGACUUGGAGCACAACGAAGACUACACCAUGACGUUCCCCAGCGCGUACGGCCGGUCCAUACUCACGGUGCCCUGGAUGGAGCUCGGGGGACGAUGCACAAUACAGUGUGCGCAGUCUGGGUACCAGGCCGCCAUCACCUUCCAAACAAAGCCAUUUUACGGUGGGAAGGUUCACCGGCUGAAUGCCGAAGUGAAGAACCCUGCCAACACUGUCAUAUGCCGAGUCCAAGGCGAGUGGAACGGACAGCUGGAAUUCUCAUACGCAGGAGGAGAAAAAAAAGUGGUGGACCUGACCAAGUUGAGCAGUAUACCCAAGAAGGUCCGGCCCAUGGACAUGCAGGGAGCGUUUGAGUCUCGCCGGCUGUGGCACAACGUCAGCAACGCCCUGAAAAUUGGCGACAUCAACACCGCAACUGAGCACAAACGAUACCUUGAAGAGAUACAGCGUCGCGAGGAGCGUGAACGCAAGGAGACCAACACGCCCUGGCAGACCAAACUCUUCAAGAAGAACGAGGAAGGCUGGUCUUACAACCGGGUACUGCAAGUGCAGUGAUGAGGAGCAGUAACACAAACAGCAAGUAACAAAAACUCAAGGGUCACUCUGAACACUUAAUCACUGUCUAAGCCCGUUGUCGUGGAGGUGCGAAAAAAAAAAAAUUGUUUAAGAGCAGAAAGAUUUGCUGUGCUAACGCGGGUCGCCAUACAGAAUCCCAUUGAUGUCUGCUAGGCCGAUUAAAAAAAUAUAAUGGUUUCUCGUCUGAGCUAUUUGGAAAAAAUGAAGGAGGCUGGCACUUUUUUUUCUCCCGUUAUUUUUCUCAAGAUGGCAGAUUUUUCAAGAUGGCGGAUGGAUUCUUCCAUUUUAUUAACUGUUUUGCUGAUACAAAAUUGUGUCCUAAGGAGCCAUAAUCCUCACCACAUAGCUACAAUUUUUUGGGAAACAAAUAAAAAAAAGACAAGAUAUUUGCAAAAUGUAUUGCCUUAAGGGCAUAUUUGCCUUAAGGAUGACGCUUUUGCCCACAAGAAAAAUCAAUGAUGUGACACCCUUGUUAUUGUUAUUUUCUGCAUAAUAGCUCAACGAAAUUGACCCAAGGGCCUUUUUAUUGGUCAAACAGACUGAAUAAAUAAUACCUCAAUAUCUUUAUUAAAA